This is a long non-coding RNA of Epinephelus moara (kelp grouper), 502 nucleotides long. RefSeq lists it as uncharacterized. Lineage: Eukaryota; Metazoa; Chordata; Actinopteri; Perciformes; Serranidae. The transcript is spliced from 4 exons. The record is from RefSeq and is a predicted model, not a curated record.
ACGUCAGCUGCCUAUAACUCAUAGAUAUAUAUACAGGCCCUGCGUUCCAAAUCGCAUACUUCUACUAUAUACUUUUAGUAUGUACUGCAGAGAGUCGUGCAUACCGUCGGAGGUGCCGGAGAGCUCUGUUGCUGUUAUGUCGUAAUCAAUGGCGGAUCGCGGAGCCUCUCAAUAGUUCCCGGAAGUAAGCGGCACAUGCUAGCAGCGCAAUGGAGUUACAGCAGAAAAGACCAGCUGUGAUGUACUUUUAACGGGAGCACUGGGUGGUGGCGGAGCAGUGAUGCUGCAGGACCACUGUGUGAGAGAGGACGCUGCAGAUAAGUGCUGAGUCGACCUUGGUGAGACUUAAAACUUAACAAGCACAAGAACAACAGGGGGAUGCAAUGGAGCCUGAACUCACCCCGCAAUGAAACAACCCCCUUACCCUGAGUCUCAACUCUGUGGGUUUUGCAAGCCUUUCCCUGUUCCUUAUUUUUAAUAAACCAAACACUGAGCUUCCCAA